This 252-nucleotide ribosomal RNA is filed under the name uncultured Bacteroidales bacterium. RNAcentral's name for it is "partial 16S ribosomal RNA". It matches the Rfam family "Bacterial small subunit ribosomal RNA", at positions 524 to 776 of the family's 1533-position model. The record is from RNAcentral. Lineage: Bacteria; Pseudomonadati; Bacteroidota; Bacteroidia; Bacteroidales.
UACGGAGGAUGCGAGCGUUAUCCGGAUUUAUUGGGUUUAAAGGGUGCGCAGGCGGCGAGUUAAGUCAGCGGUAAAAUUUCGGGGCUCAACCCCGUCGUGCCGUUGAAACUGAUGUUCUUGAGUGGGCGAGAAGUAUGCGGAAUGCGUGGCGUAGCGGUGAAAUGCAUAGAUAUCACGCAGAACGCCGAUUGCGAAGGCAGCUUACCGGCGCUCAACUGACGCUGAGGCACGAAAGUGCGGGUAUCGAACAGG